This 841-nucleotide ribosomal RNA is filed under the name Salinivibrio sp. JSM 077027. RNAcentral's name for it is "bacterial SSU rRNA". It matches the Rfam family "Bacterial small subunit ribosomal RNA", at positions 57 to 875 of the family's 1533-position model. The record is from RNAcentral. Lineage: Bacteria; Pseudomonadati; Pseudomonadota; Gammaproteobacteria; Vibrionales; Vibrionaceae.
GCAAGUCGAGCGGAAACGGCAGUAUUGAAGCUUCGGUGGAUUUACUGGACGUCGAGCGGCGGACGGGUGAGUAACGGCUGGGAACCUGCCCUGACGAGGGGGAUAACCGUUGGAAACGACGGCUAAUACCGCAUAAUGUCUACGGACCAAAGGUGGCCUCUACAUGUAAGCUAUCGCGUUGGGAUGGGCCCAGUUAGGAUUAGCUAGUUGGUAAGGUAAUGGCUUACCAAGGCGACGAUCCUUAGCUGGUUUGAGAGGAUGAUCAGCCACACUGGGACUGAGACACGGCCCAGACUCCUACGGGAGGCAGCAGUGGGGAAUAUUGCACAAUGGGGGAGACCCUGAUGCAGCCAUGCCGCGUGUGUGAAGAAGGCCUUCGGGUUGUAAAGCACUUUCAGCAGUGAGGAAGGUAGUGUACUUAAUACGUGCAUUGCUUGACGUUAGCUGCAGAAGAAGCACCGGCUAACUCCGUGCCAGCAGCCGCGGUAAUACGGAGGGUGCGAGCGUUAAUCGGAAUUACUGGGCGUAAAGCGCAUGCAGGCGGUUUGUUAAGUCAGAUGUGAAAGCCCGGGGCUCAACCUCGGAACCGCAUUUGAAACUGGCAGGCUAGAGUCUUGUAGAGGGGGGUAGAAUUUCAGGUGUAGCGGUGAAAUGCGUAGAGAUCUGAAGGAAUACCAGUGGCGAAGGCGGCCCCCUGGACAAAGACUGACGCUCAGAUGCGAAAGCGUGGGUAGCAAACAGGAUUAGAUACCCUGGUAGUCCACGCCGUAAACGAUGUCUACUUGGAGGCUGAGGUUUAAGACUUUGGCUUUCGGAGCUAACGCAUUAAGUAGACCGCCUG